Molecule: long non-coding RNA, 211 nt
Organism: Actinia tenebrosa (Australian red waratah sea anemone)
Lineage: Eukaryota; Metazoa; Cnidaria; Anthozoa; Actiniaria; Actiniidae
Source: RefSeq, a predicted model, not a curated record
CCCAGAUCAAAGAAGGUUUGAUCGAAGAACACAAGAAAAUCAAAAUGGGAUCUCCUGAUGAUCUUGAAAACACCUUUGUUACAGCAGUCAUUGAUGAAAAUUCCUUUGAUAACAUCAAGUCCUAUAUUGACUACUGCAAAGAGAGCAGCAACAUAACCAUCCUUGCUGGAGGAAAGUGUGACAAGAGGUAAAUACAGUUGUAGUUUAAUUA